Molecule: ribosomal RNA, 259 nt
Filed under: uncultured Atopobium sp.
Lineage: Bacteria; Bacillati; Actinomycetota; Coriobacteriia; Coriobacteriales; Atopobiaceae
Description: partial 16S ribosomal RNA
Rfam family: Bacterial small subunit ribosomal RNA
Source: RNAcentral
GGCGAACGGCUGAAUAACACGUGGGCAACCUGCCCUUUGCACUGGGAUAGCCUCGGGAAACCGAGGUUAAUACCGGAUACUCCAUAUUUGUCGCAUGGCGAAUAUGGGAAAGCUCCGGCGGCAAAGGAUGGGCCCGCGGCCUGUUAGCUAGUUGGUGGGGUAGUGGCCUACCAAGGCAAUGAUGGGUAGCCGGGUUGAGAGACCGACCGGCCAGAUUGGGACUGAGACACGGCCCAGACUCCUACGGGAGGCAGCAGAU